GUAUUGACAUCUGGGUUGUUUUUUUUUAAAUCGCUUUUUGUAUUUUCUCUUUUAUAUCUGUUGAAUAUGUAUGUUUACUUAAUUGGUUGGUUGUGUUUGUUUGUUUAAAGGACUUAACAUAUGGCUUAACUGAUACAACAGUGGAAGUUUCACAAAGCCAAAUUAAGAUUCAAACGAGUGACGGUAAAGGGGUUUCUCAAUGCUGACUGCUGCGUUUUCUGUGCUCAGCAUCUAAGGCCCAAGCAUGCACACAGUGGACCUCUGAGGCCCAAGCAUGCGCACAGGGGACCUCUGAGGAUCAAACAUGCGCACAGAGGACCUCUGAGGUCCAAGCAUGCGCACAGGGGACUUCUGCGGCCCGUGCUUGACUACAGAACAUGCUCUUACUAGCAAGUAUAUUAGUAGACAACAUACCUCCUGCUAUUGCGCCUUUUGCAGCCCCAUCUUUUGUUACUACUUCUAUGAUGCUGGAGGGGAGACAGGAGCAAGUCGGCCGAUUUUCUCAGAACAGGUUUAAGAGUCAAGAGACCGGAUUCUUGUAGCCUUGUGUGGAAGACAAGCAGACACCAGUAAGUAAACAUCCCCUCUCACCCUUCAGAUAGACCCCCUAGCCACCUACAGGUAUUAUCAUCUUGCUCUCCCCGAAGGCCUCAUGACCAAGAAAAUGAAUGAAGUCACACUUUGGCUCGUUAUAAAUUAUUGAGCUGCUCUUGGCUUGGUCGCUAUGAAUCAAGGGUACAUUAGCAUAUCCCUGCCACUCACUUUCCCACUUGUUACAUUUUUAUGAGUAUUUGCUCUCUCAGAUUUGCUUCGUUCAUUCAUGCAUUCAUUCAUAAGAAGCAAGCACAAACCGGGAAUCCUGUCCCCUGUGAAGGAACAGAAGGCACAUUUCUCCGUACUCCUAAAGGCCUUGCUUGGAAAGGUGGGAGGAAGGGGGAUAGCACACGCCAUGCAUAAGAAAACAGGAAGGCCGUAGGAGUCAUAAAGGGAGGCCCAGAGUGGUCAAGAAGAAAGAGAUGGUUCUUCCUACCUUAGAUGCUCUCAUCGGGAUAAUAGCAUUUAUGCUCGGGUUUAGAUAUAGGCAAACUUUGGCAAUGCAAAGAUGACCCCCACCAGCAGGUAGAAACUACCAGAACAAAGGCUUGGGGGAACCGCUUGACAUAAGAAGAUAAAUGCAGGGGGAAUCUUUGGAUAGAGCAAAAUGGAAGUGAGAAGCAGUCAGAAGGCUGAAAUCAACAAGAGCCUUGGCUUGUCUUCAAACAACAGCGGCUUCAGCAACUCGGCUGCUCUGUCACAUUAAACAAAAGACAGAUUAUCUGAAAAUGUUGAAUUACUUAAAAAAUUAUUUUAAAAUGUC
Non-coding RNA from Rattus norvegicus (Norway rat), 1357 nucleotides. Lineage: Eukaryota; Metazoa; Chordata; Mammalia; Rodentia; Muridae. The record is from RefSeq and is a predicted model, not a curated record.